Molecule: long non-coding RNA, 227 nt
Filed under: Trifolium pratense (red clover)
Lineage: Eukaryota; Viridiplantae; Streptophyta; Magnoliopsida; Fabales; Fabaceae
Description: long non-coding RNA (TPRA_LNC007858)
Source: RNAcentral
UUCAAGAAACUUUAAGCCAUGCCCUGACUUAUGCUGUUGAGAAGCCGGUUGCUCUCCCUACUCUGCUAUGCAAUAUCAUUCUUGAGCAACACCCAGAUAUACUAAGGAGUACUGAUGUUCCUUGUAAAAGGAAAGGGGUGUUGGUGAUUGAGCAGAGGCUGCUGGAUGGGACAAAUGCUGCAGCAGGUGUUGGCACAUCUGUCCAGGGUGGUAUACUUUCAAGGAAG